AGGUGCUUCAUGCACGCGUUUUACCUGGCCAUGGGUUCCAUCGCCGCUCACGAUUGGUUCAAGGACAUUCUGUCAAAGGCCCAGCGUGUUGUCACCUUCUUUAAGGCUUCGGACCAGACCCUGGCCCUGCUCCGGGCUGCGGCCGCCAAGAUGGACGUGACUCGGGGGCUGGAGACGUCCAACAAGACACGGUUCACAUCCGUGCACUCGUGCGCUGAGUCUGUCCUGCGCAACGAGCACCCCAUUAUCGAUGUCAACCGCAGCAACCCCACCCUCCUCACGGCCUCCAAAACUGGGCCGGAGGUGAAGGCCAUUGUCGAGGACCGGGUGUGGUGGUUCAACCUGGAGACCGUGGUCAUGCUCCUUGGUUACUUUGCAAGUGUGAUCAUGGCGGUGCAGCGGGAGAAGACCACCCUUGGCGACAUCACCCGGUACUGGGCGUGGCUGCGGCAGAAGCUGAUUGCCAUCGCCCCAAAGCUCAGCAACGGUAGGCUCAUGAGGGUUGGGGAAAGGGAUUGCCCGAGGGUUGGGGAAAGGGAUUGCCCGGGGGUUGGGGAAAGGGAUUGCCCGGGGGUUGGGGAAAGGGAUUGCCCGAGGGUUGGGGAAAGGGAUUGCCCGGGGGUUGGGGAAAGGGAUUGCCCGGGGGUUGGGGAAAGGGAUUGCCCGAGGGUUGGGGAAAGGGAUUGCCCGGGGGUUGGGGAAAGGGAUUGCCCGAGGGUUGGGGAAAGGGAUUGCCCGGGGGUUGGGGAAAGGGAUUGCCCGGGGGUUGGGGAGAGGGAUUGCCCGGGGGUUGGGGAGAGGGAUUGUUGGCCGAAUGUUGAUAGUUGGACGAAUGUUUGUGUUGUAUUCCGCUUCUUAAAUCUGGGUCCAAACUGAUACAUUUUCUGUCUAAUUUUUCCUUUCUCGCUUGGCGCGGUUACUGGACAAGUUCGCUGGAACUAACUGAAUUCCAACUGCCUAUUUUGCCGCUUUUCUGUCAGAUCUUUAUGGCUCCGACCUCUGGGUCAGACGGCGAGCGGGAAGCUGUCAUGGAUGCCAACAAGUAAACGCCGCCUCAGGCGGAAGUCCAUACUUGCAGAAGUAUGGGCGGGGGUCGUAGCACAGGCUACGACUGGGACGCUGGUCCCUGGCUCGCGGAGCCCCGUCAUCGAUUGGAAGCAUGGAUCAACGGUACGCCAUUCCGGACUGGACCGCGCCAUUUCGGAAUUGGCUGUACGAUUCAUGGGNNNNNNNNNNNNNNNNNNNNNNNNNNNNNNNNNNNNNNNNNNNNNNNNNNUUCAAAUGCACAGCCGAGUCGCCUUGGCUGCAACCUUACCGAUAUCAUUGUCAUUGUCUAAGGAAGGCAACUGUGACCGUUCCACAUGACAGGUGCUUCAUGCACGCGUUUUACCUGGCCAUGGGUUCCAUCGCCGCUCACGAUUGGUUCAAGGACAUUCUGUCAAAGGCCCAGCGUGUUGUCACCUUCUUUAAGGCUUCGGACCAGACCCUGGCCCUGCUCCGGGCUGCGGCCGCCAAGAUGGACGUGACUCGGGGGCUGGAGACGUCCAACAAGACACGGUUCACAUCCGUGCACUCGUGCGCUGAGUCUGUCCUGCGCAACGAGCACCCCAUUAUCGAUGUCAACCGCAGCAACCCCACCCUCCUCACGGCCUCCAAAACUGGGCCGGAGGUGAAGGCCAUUGUCGAGGACCGGGUGUGGUGGUUCAACCUGGAGACCGUGGUCAUGCUCCUUGGUUACUUUGCAAGUGUGAUCAUGGCGGUGCAGCGGGAGAAGACCACCCUUGGCGACAUCACCCGGUACUGGGCGUGGCUGCGGCAGAAGCUGAUUGCCAUCGCCCCAAAGCUCA
This 1847-nucleotide long non-coding RNA is filed under the name Volvox carteri. RNAcentral describes it as "long non-coding RNA (VCAR_LNC002753)". Lineage: Eukaryota; Viridiplantae; Chlorophyta; Chlorophyceae; Chlamydomonadales; Volvocaceae. The record is from RNAcentral.